RNAcentral lists this ribosomal RNA (484 nucleotides) under uncultured bacterium. Its description in RNAcentral is "partial 16S ribosomal RNA". It matches the Rfam family "Bacterial small subunit ribosomal RNA", at positions 30 to 507 of the family's 1533-position model. The record is from RNAcentral.
AUUGAACGCUGGCGGCAGGCCUAACACAUGCAAGUCGAGCGGAUGAAGGGAGCUUGCUCCUGGAUUCAGCGGCGGACGGGUGGGUAAUGCCUAGGAAUCUGCCUGGUAGUGGGGGAUAACGUCCGGAAACGGGCGCUAAUACCGCAUACGUCCUGAGGGAGAAAGUGGGGGAUCUUCGGACCUCACGCUAUCAGAUGAGCCUAGUUCGGAUUAGCUAGUUGGUGUGGUAAAGGCCUACCAAGGCGACGAUCCGUAACUGGUCUGAGAGGAUGAUCAGUCACACGGGAACUGAGACACGGUCCAGACUCCUACGCGAGGCAGGAGUGGGGAAUAUUAGACAAUGGGCGGAAGCCUGAUCCAGCAAUGCCGCGUGUGUGAAGAAGGUCUUCGGAUUGUAAAGCACUUUAAGUUGGGAGGAAGGGCAGUAAGUUAAUACCUUGCUGUUUUGACGUUACCAACAGAAUGAGCACCGGCUAACUUCGUG